RNAcentral lists this long non-coding RNA (7253 nucleotides) under Medicago truncatula (barrel medic). Its description in RNAcentral is "long non-coding RNA (MTRU_LNC001620)". The record is from RNAcentral. Lineage: Eukaryota; Viridiplantae; Streptophyta; Magnoliopsida; Fabales; Fabaceae.
CCUCAGGUAUCACAAUGCUUCAAAGAAUUGGCACUGGAAUUUUUCUAUCUAUAUUCACAGUAGUGGUUGCAGCCUUUGUUGAGAUGAAAAGACUAAAGAUAGCACAAGAGCAUGGUCUUGUUGAUGAUCCAAAUGCAACUGUUCCAAUGAGUAUAUGGUGGUUGGUUCCUCAAUACUUUUUGUUUGGAGUAUCUGAGGUUUUUACUAUUGUUGGUGUUCAGGAAUUUUUCUAUGAUCAAGUCCCAAAUGAACUAAGAAGCAUGGGACUUGCACUCUAUUUGAGUAUUAUUGGUGUUGGAAGCUUUCUAAGUNUUUUUUACCACAUAAUAUUUUAAACGUUUUACCACAUGUUAGUAUUGGCAAAAGUUAUGGUGCAUAAACCAUUUCCUUAUGCACCGUGCAUAAACACAUCACAACCAUCAGAUUUCUUUCAUUUUGAACAAAAAUGGUUUUGGCUCACUUUUGGGGUGUAGGAAGCAAUUAUGUUGGGAUUUAUGCACGGUGCAUAAGGAUUUCCUUAUGCACCAUAACCACUCCCGUUAGUAUUGUAGAAUUAUCUCCUUAACAAAAGUAUUGUAGCAUUAUCACUCUAUAACUAUAAAAGUUACUCAGACCGAAAGAUUUAAGUUACGCAAGGGUAUUUUUGUCUUUUCAGUUGGGAGUGAGAAAUAUUUGUUGCAAGAAGAGCAAUUUUCUUAGGAAUAUGUAACAUGCAUAGAGAAGAGUGUUUUUUUUUUCAUCUGAUAAGAUGAACAAUUCCAGAUAUUUGUACUUUAAUGGCAUCCCCUCCAUCCAUGGAACAUCCCAAAGUAUCUAACGUAAUUUCUUCUCCAUUUCCAAUCUCUCUUCUUAGACUUUUCGAAGACCAAUUCGACGUAACUCCCCACACCACUAUCUCUAAAGUAUCUACAUCUUUCCUUCAUGCUGCACAAAAUCUCCCAUAUUAAUGCGGAUAUUUACUCACCAAAACUCUAAACCUCAAACUGUUUUUUCCGGUAAGAAUUCGCCAUUCCCAUUUUCCCAUAAGUGAUACAAUAAAUGUAUUAGAAUGAAGCCACCCUCAUCGUUUUCUCGACACACUUUUUCUCAAUGUAUCAAAUUAUUUUUAAAUUUUAAAAAAGCACUAUAUUAGAAUGAACCCACCCUCAUCUUUUUCUCGACACACUUUGUCUCAAUGUAUCAAAUUAUUUUUAAAUUUAAAAAAAGCAAUUAAAGUUUAUAAACUAUUAUCAUCAGUGUUAUCUAUCCGAUGUGGAACUUAGGUUUUUCCCAAUACAAUCCCUCACACCCAACACUCUCUUUGGGCUUGGUGCGUGGAUAGGUAGAUGACUCUUGAAUUCGACAAACUCUGAUAUCAUGUUAGAAAUCGUGGUUAAGCCUAACAAAAUCGGUUUCCACAUUCCUUCUCUCGCAGGAUCUCCCCCAAUUGGUAGAACCAAAUAUUUAAGGCUUAAUAGCAGUUUUGCCCUCCUAAAUAUCAGAAAGUUGCGAUUUUGCCCCCUGACAAAAUAAAAUACAAUCGAGCCCUCUACGUGUGUAAUUAUGUUAAUUUUAUUUAUUAUAAAAAAUAAUUUAAUUAUUAAAAAAAUAAUUUUUUUUUUAUUUUUCUAAUUAAAAAAAAAAUUACACAACGUCCACUUCAGCAUUGAUUUGGUCAAAAUUGACCUGAGGGACCAAAACUGCAAAAGGGAUGGUUCUUAGGGGGCUGGAUUGUAUUUUAUUUUGUUAGGAAGCCAAAAUCGUAACUUGCUGAUACAUUAGGCCAAAACUGCUAUUAAGCCAAUAUUUAAAUGACAAACUACCAACUUUGAAAUUUAUCACACAUGUUGCCUCUACUUUCGAUGUAUGAUGUAUAUUUACACCCAUUAGAACGUUUUUACGAAAGUUUCCCAUCAAUCUAGACACUAAUUCAAACACUUGCAAAAUUGCCUUAUAAUCACCUGUUUUUCCAACUUUUCUUCACCACAAUCUUUGUGUCGUUGCAAUGUUGUAAGUGUGGUAUAGUCACUUCAUCUAUACCAAACUGGAUAACGGCUAUCCUUGUCUGAUUCCCCUUCUCGCCGGAAACUCUUUUGCAAGUCUUCCAUUCAUCAAAACAGACAUGGAAGUAGUGGGAAGACAUUCAGAUAUCCAAAACCAGUCACAAGUUAUCAUUGACUCAUUGUUUUAAUGAAUUGCAGGGACUAGGCUUGUUAACGUUGUCGGCUAUGCUGCCUUCCAUCACAUUUUGUUCUCCUCAGUCACAAGUUAUCUUAUUCUUCAUCUCACUCUAUCUAAUUGCCAUUGGACAAGGUGGACAUAAACCUUGUGUUCAAGCUUUCGGGGCGGAUCAAUUUGACGAAAAACAUCCUAAGGAACAUAGAGCUAGAAGCUCAUUCUUUAAUUGGUGGUAUUUUACAAUGGUUGCAGGUGCCUCGGCAACACUUUUAAUCUUGAGUUAUAUACAAGAUAACUAUAGUUGGGUUGUUGGAUUUGGAAUACCUUGUGUUGUUAUGAUCAUUGCUUUGAUUGUUUUCUUGAUUGGAACUAUCACAUAUAGGUUUAACAUCAAUGAUAAUAACAAGAGUCCCUUUCUUAGAAUUGGUCGUGUAUUCGUCGUGGCUGCAAGAAAUUGGAAAAAUACCUUAUCAACAACGGAUAUUGAAGAGGAACAUGAUGGACUACUUCGCCGCCAUCAAAGUUCUGAACAAGUCAAGUAAGAAUAACAAUGCUAAUUUCUGUUUGUUUUUCAAUUCUAUAUCUAGCAAGUGAUUCUUAAAGCAGCAAAUAUGAUGAAAUACUUAAUUAUAGGACUCAUGUUGAAUUCGUCUUUGGAGUUUUAUGAAAUGCAUUCUAUGAAACAUAUUAUAGUAACGGUUACACUGUAGUAAUCAAUUCGAGCAUUGAACUUAAUUCUCAUUGUUGAUUAUUGUGGUUGCCAUCUCGAAGCAUCUCGAAGCAAUUUACGGUAUAUAUAAGAUAUAAAAGUUAGUUAUACUGACAAGUUAGUUACACCAGUUUUUCAUUAUCAAUAUAAUUUGCAUUUUACUUUCGUCUUAUCAGUAACUUUUCUCAAGAAUAUAAUAAUAUGGUAUCAUACAGCCCGGUUACAACCAAGUGAUUAUAUAUAAGCGAUUCCUAUCAAAAAAGAUAAAAUAAUGUCAAAAUAUUUUCAUAUAUAUGCUAAAACUGGUUUCAUAAGUUAUCUGGACGUCCUUAUGGAAAUAUACUGAAAACAACUUAUGGAUUUGUCAUAAACUAUUUUGACUUGGCCUAUAUUUUCUACAUUUGUAGCUUCCUCAAUAAGGCAUUGCUAACACCAAAGGGAUCCAAAGAUGCUGAUCAUUGUAGCCUUGGUGAGGUGGAAGAAGCAAAGGCAGUACUAAGUUUGAUUCCAAUUUGGGCUACAUCUUUAGUUUAUGGUAUUAUCUUUGCUCAAAUAUUUACAUUCUUCACCAAACAAGGGAGUUCUUUGGAGAGAACAAUAUUUCCUGGUUUCAACAUACCUCCCGCUUCUCUUGGAUCAAUAGGUGGUGUUGCUAUUGUUCUCUUCACUCCUAUCUACGACCGUUUAUUCGUGCCACUAGCAAGAGUUAUAACUGGAAAGUCCUCAGGUAUUACAAUGCUUCAAAGAAUUGGCACUGGAAUUUUUCUAUCUAUAUUCACAGUAGUACUUGCAGCCUUUGUUGAGAUGAAAAGACUAAAGAUAGCACAAGAGCAUGGUCUUGUUGAUGAUCCAAACGCAAUUGUUCCAAUGAGUAUAUGGUGGUUGGUUCCUCAAUACUUUUUGUUUGGAGUUUCAGAGGUUUUUACUAUGGUUGGUCUUCAGGAAUUUUUCUAUGAUCAAGUCCCAAAUGAACUAAGAAGCAUGGGACUUGCACUCUAUUUGAGUAUUAUUGGUGUUGGAAGCUUUCUAAGUGGCUUUCUAAUUUCUUUGAUAGAACAUUUUAGUGGCAAAGAUGGACAUGAUAGUUGGUUUUGUGACAAUAUCAAUAAGACACAUCUUGAUUACUUUUAUUGGCUACUUUCUGGAUUAAGUGUCAUUGGGUUUACUUUGUUCAUUUACUUUGCAAAAUCUUACAUUUAUAAUCAUAAAGGUGUCAUCACACAAGGAUAGGCACCGAUUAUUUUUUGUUUUAUGUCAUAUAUGUAUUGAAGGGAGCUUUGGUAAUGCAUGAUAAGAGAUUAAGGUCUAAUUAAUUUUUGUGAGUAUAGCCUAAUACACCUUGCUUCAAAAACGUGGAACUAUGAUGUCAUAUGUAACGAGUUCGGGUAUGCUCCAUUUAGGCAAAGCUUCAUUUACUCCAUUUAGGGUUUAGAUGCAAGAUAUGUGGCAAAAAAAUAUUCAACGGUUGAGAUUUUAAAUUAAAAAACAAAUAUUUGUUUAAUAGAAAUACAUAAUAAUAAUAACAAACAAAUCAUGUCCCCUUCUUCUCUCAUGUCGCAACAAUCUUUUAUUGUUUUUUAAUUUAAAAUCUCAACCGUUAGAUAUUUUUUUGCCACAUGUCUUGCAUCCAAACCCUAAAUGAAAUAAAUGGAGCUACCUGAACUCAUACCUAACACCCCAAAUUUCUAUUUAAUUAAUUUGGUGAGGUUAAACAAGUGGAGUCGUGUUUAUUAUGAAUAUAACGAUGCAUGUUUCUUUGCAUUGAGGAUUUAAUUGAUACAUCCCAUCUUUGCCGGCAAGGGUUAUGGGAUGACAAUUGGCGGUUGAAAGUUCCUCCAAAAAUUAAGAAUUUACUUUGGCGUGUGUGUAGAGGAUGACCCUAGGAUAACGGAGUGCAUUGUCCCACAAAUUGUGUCACUUGUGAAGACUCUUCCGAAGAUCUUAUUCAUGUAUUUUUCGAUUGCUCUUUUGCUAUGCAGGUUUAGCAUAGAAGUGGAAUGGGGGAUGUGAUACAUAACGUGCGCCCUCGUACAACUACAGUAGUCGAGACAAUAUUAACAAUGUUUUGCUGCUCUUUUAUAGAUCCUACAGAAGCAUAUAAAUCUCAAGUUAUGUCAAGAUGUCACAUAAACAGUUACACAUGUUAUUGAUCGAGCUUUUCUUUUGAUCGAGCUUACUACAGAUGCCUUCAACCAACACUGUGUCAAUGUCACGAAAUUUGGUCAAGUACUCUCUGCAUGUAGAGGUUUCUUUACAACAAAUUUUACUGAUUAUAAGGUCGAGUUCAAUUGACGACAAGAAAAUGAGUUAGCUCACAACCUAACGGGGGUUGCCACAUUAUCAGCUAGUCUCAUUAUUUAUAUCAAUGUACAUUGUUAUAUUGAACAGAUUAUUAUUAAUGAAAUGUAAUAAGCAUCUCUCGUUAAAAAAAAUGUUAGAAGUGGUUAUGAUUAAAUUCAAAAGUUUUUAUAAUUUGACUGUUAUGAUAGAUUGACCAAGCAAAAAUCUUAACAAAUAUUACUUUAUUUAAUUUCUUAUUUCUGAUAGAAUUUCAUUAAUUUCUAUUAGUGUGGGAGGUAACAGUUGGGUUAGGCCAGACAUUGGUAUGAUAAGUUAGAUCAAAUUUAAAAACAUUAAAACAUGAAUUUGAAGGCAAGAAAAACACAAGAAGGGGGUUUGAUUGUGUUGGUUUUUUUUUUAAACUUUUUUUAAGUGUUUGUAAAAACUAUUCAAAGUCUGAAACAAAGCAGAGUUUGUUCAGAAUCUGAAACAAAGUUUGAAUGCAACGGUAUGAAAUCAAACACACAAACACACAUAGCGAGAGAGAAAGAAGGAGAGAGAGAGAGAGAGAUGGAUAUAUAUAUAUAUAUAUAUAGGGGUUUGCUACAAUAGACCCACUUCAUUUUAUGAAUGUCUAUUUUAGCAAGCAAUACCUUUUCACUUGGACACAAAGACCCCUAUUUUUAUUUUUUGGGCAAAUUAAAUCUAAAAGCACGCAUGUAAUUUCCGUUUAAAAGGUUAGAUUUUCUUUUACGAGAAACUCUUUAUGUCCCUUUGAUUCUCUUUCUUUCUUCCUUCUCCAUUCCCUUCUUUUUUUCUUGAGUUUGCGACUCAUCAUGCUCCAUGGAUUUACGUCGUGUUUCAUCCAAAUGCACGAACUCCUGAGACCAAAAACUCUUGCACUACAUCCAAAUGUUCAUCCCUUCCUAUGGCAGCUCUAGUAAGCUAAUCAGAAAUAUGAAAACUAAGCAUCAUAGAAGAAUGGGAAACAAAUUGGAGCUGGUGACGUGGCUGGAAUUAUCUUUGGUGUUGCUUUUGUUGUUCUUUUAGUUGUUGGAGUCUAUUAUGUUAAGGUCAUUCGUCAAGUUAACAUGAAUAGAACCAUUAAUAAUGCUCAAUCUCAUGCUUAAUAUGUAUUGAAGUAAUAUCUCACUUUCUUAUUUCUUAUAUUGUAAAUCAUAUGCAACAAAUCUUGUAUUGAAGAAAAGGUAUUCUCCUUUCUACUGUGCCUCCAUUUAUCUAUGUCACAAUCAAUUGAAUCCAAAUCCAAUAAAACUAAAACUCACUUCCACUCAAGUUUUUGAGCUAUUAGCGAGGUGGUGGAGGAGCAAGUUUUGAGCUAUUAGAACUGAAACAUCCCAUGGUGGUGUUGGCGUUGGAAAUGGAACUCAGGGAAAGUGGUGAGAGAAGGGAAGAGAGAAGGAAGAAAGAAAGAGAACGGGAGGUACAUGAAGAGUGUAUGUGAAAAAAUAAAUAAAAAAUCCAACAUUUAAACAAAAAUUACAUUUGUGUCCUUUAGAUUUAAUUUACCCAAAAAACAAAAAUAAGGGUUUUUGUGUCCAAGUGUAAAGGUGUAGCUUGCUAAAAUAGACCUUCAUAAACUGAAGUGCGUCUAUUGUAGCCAUAGUUUUAAAACUCGGCUCGGUCAUCGACUCGGCGGGGAUACUGGGUCAAUGGGUCAAUGGUCGAACCACUGAAUCAUUGGUCGAACCGCAUGACUGAAUCGGAACCACUCGGAUGACUCGGUUAGAUAACUCGGUCCUUAGAAUAAAUUUAUAUAGUUAUUUAACCGGAUUGAAUCGGUGAGUCGGUCACUUUAGAAACUAAAAUAAUUAAUGAGUGUUGUAAUUUAAAAAAGGUUUACAUUUAAGGACAAAAAUAAAAUCAAAUGGGUGUUUAAAUAUAUGGACGAAGAGAGUAAUACAUAUUCAAAUAAAUAUAGUAAAAUAAAAAAAUUCUUUCNGUUCAGGAAUUUUUCUAUGAUCAAGUCCCAAAUGAACUAAGAAGCAUGGGACUUGCACUCUAUUUGAGUAUUAUUGGUGUUGGAAGCUUUCUAAGUGGCUUUCUCAUUUCAUUGAUAGAACAUUUUACUGGCAAAGAUGGUCAU